This 129-nucleotide microRNA precursor is filed under the name Drosophila virilis. Its description in RNAcentral is "microRNA dvi-mir-9544a precursor". The record is from miRBase by way of RNAcentral. Lineage: Eukaryota; Metazoa; Arthropoda; Insecta; Diptera; Drosophilidae.
AACAAAGUUUAUUUGAAUUUGAGUCAUAUGAAAUUUGCACAGUGGUCUUUUAUAACGAGUUUUUGUUACACUCGUUAAAAGAGCCGCCGCGCAAAUCUCAUGUGGCUUAUGCCCAACGUUUGCUUAUGU